AAUGAACUUGAGGCUGCUAAAUCUGAGAUUCAAAGUUGGCAUUCUUCAAUUCAAAAUGAGCCUUGUGUACCUGCUGGUGCCACUCCUGAGCCCAAAAUGUUGCUUGAUUAUCUUCAGGCCCUGAAAUCCUCAGAAGAGUCUUUAAGAGAGCAGCUUUUAAAGGCAAAGAAAAAGGAAGCUGCGUUCAUUGUAACAUUUGCAAAACGAGAACAAGAGAUAGCAAAGUUGAAGGUAUCAUGCUCAAAAUAAGAUUUUUUCUAUAGCAUGGCUGUAUAUGUGCAAUUACAUUUCUUUCUGACAUCAACUUUGACCACCUGAGUAAAAUUUA
Long non-coding RNA from Arachis duranensis, 328 nucleotides. RefSeq lists it as uncharacterized. The transcript has 3 exons. Lineage: Eukaryota; Viridiplantae; Streptophyta; Magnoliopsida; Fabales; Fabaceae. The record is from RefSeq and is a predicted model, not a curated record.